CGUUGCUGAGAUGAGACGAGGGACUGGGCCGUGUAAGAAGUUGCAGAUCUGUUUGAUUCUCUAACAACGCAGGAGAUCGGUUCAGAGUCAGUUACUCCGUCACCUCCACGCUC
Long non-coding RNA from Bos indicus x Bos taurus (hybrid cattle), 113 nucleotides. NCBI's taxonomy places the organism in Eukaryota, Metazoa, Chordata, Mammalia, Artiodactyla, Bovidae. The record is from Ensembl.